UACGUAGGGGGCGAGCGUUGUCCGGAAUCAUUGGGCGUAAAGCGCGUGUAGGCGGCUCGAUAAGUCCGGUGUGAAACCUUGGGGCUCAACCCCAAGCCUGCACUGGAUACUGCCGAGCUAGAGUCCGGGAGGGGAGAGCGGAAUUCCUAGUGUAGCGGUGAAAUGCGCAGAUAUUAGGAAGAACACCGGUGGCGAAGGCGGCUCUCUGGAACGGUACUGACGCUGAGACGCGAAAGCGUGGGGAGCGAACAGG
This 253-nucleotide ribosomal RNA is filed under the name uncultured bacterium. RNAcentral describes it as "partial 16S ribosomal RNA". It matches the Rfam family "Bacterial small subunit ribosomal RNA", at positions 524 to 776 of the family's 1533-position model. The record is from RNAcentral.